RNAcentral lists this ribosomal RNA (253 nucleotides) under Segatella copri DSM 18205. Its description in RNAcentral is "Prevotella copri DSM 18205 partial 16S ribosomal RNA". It matches the Rfam family "Bacterial small subunit ribosomal RNA", at positions 524 to 776 of the family's 1533-position model. Lineage: Bacteria; Pseudomonadati; Bacteroidota; Bacteroidia; Bacteroidales; Prevotellaceae. The record is from RNAcentral.
UACGGAAGGUCCGGGCGUUAUCCGGAUUUAUUGGGUUUAAAGGGAGCGUAGGCCGGAGAUUAAGCGUGUUGUGAAAUGUAGAUGCUCAACAUCUGCACUGCAGCGCGAACUGUUUUCCUUGAGUACGCACAAAGUGGGCGGAAUUCCAGGUGUAGCGGUGAAAUGCGUAGAGAUCUGGAGGAAUACCGGUGGCGAAGGCGGCCCCCUGGACGAAGACUGACGCUCAGGUGCGAAAGCGUGGGGAGCAAACAGG